This is a non-coding RNA of Podarcis lilfordi (Lilford's wall lizard), 70 nucleotides long. The record is from the annotation of a GenBank genome assembly. Lineage: Eukaryota; Metazoa; Chordata; Lepidosauria; Squamata; Lacertidae.
GAGAUAGCUCAGUUGGAAGAGCAUGAGACUAUUAAUCUUAGAGUUGUGGGUUCAAGCCCUGUGUUGGGCA